GACUGUCUCCCGACACGCCGGCUGAGAACCCUUUUCGACUGUGAGCUGCGGCAGCUGAGCAGAGGCGGCGGCGCGGGACCUGCAAUCGCCAGGGAUUCCCUCCAGGUGACGAUGCUCUGGUUCUCCGGCGUCGGGGCUCUGGCUGAGCGUUACUGCCGCCGCUCGCCUGGGAUUACGUGCUGCGUCUUGCUGCUACUCAAUUGCUCGGGGGUCCCCAUGUCUCUGGCUUCCUCCUUCUUGACAGGUUCUGUUGCAAAAUGUGAAAAUGAAGGUGAAGUCCUCCAGAUUCCAUUUAUCACAGACAACCCUUGCAUAAUGUGUGUCUGCUUGAACAAGGAAGUGACAUGUAAGAGAGAGAAGUGCCCCGUGCUGUCCCGAGACUGUGCCCUGGCCGUCAAGCAGAGGGGAGCCUGUUGUGAACAGUGCAAAGGUGAUUGAUGUCUUGGCCGUCUUCUCUUCUGGCUGCUGCUUCAGGCAUUUUUAUUUCUCUUUCUCUCACCUUCCUUUUCACUCAGCUUUUGGCUGGGGUGCACAUGGGUGGGGAGGAGAAGUAGGAUAUGUGUGUGUGUGUGUGUGUGUGUAUGUAUGUGUGUGUUUGUGUGUAUGUG
RNAcentral lists this small RNA (608 nucleotides) under Pan troglodytes (chimpanzee). RNAcentral describes it as "retained intron". The record is from RNAcentral. Lineage: Eukaryota; Metazoa; Chordata; Mammalia; Primates; Hominidae.